GACGAACGCUGGCGGCGUGCUUAACACAUGCAAGUCGAACGGAAAGGCCCUGCUUUUGUGGGGUGCUCGAGUGGCGAACGGGUGAGUAACACGUGAGUAACCUGCCCUCGACUUUGGGAUAACUUCAGGAAACUGGGGCUAAUACCGGAUAGGAGCUCCUGCUGCAUGGUGGGGGUUGGAAAGUUUCGGCGGUUGGGGAUGGACUCGCGGCUUAUCAGCUUGUUGGUGGGGUAGUGGCUUACCAAGGCUUUGACGGGUAGCCGGCCUGAGAGGGUGACCGGCCAAAUUGGGACUGAGAUACGGCCCAGAUUCCUACGGGAGGCAGAAGUGGGGAAUAUUGCACAAUGGGCGGAAGCCUGAUGCAGCAACGCCGCGUGCGGGAUGACGGCCUUCGGGUUGUAAACCGCUUUCGCCUGUGACGAAGCGUGAGUGACGGUAAUGGGUAAAGAAGCACCGGCUAACUACGU
This 467-nucleotide ribosomal RNA is filed under the name uncultured bacterium. RNAcentral describes it as "partial 16S ribosomal RNA". It matches the Rfam family "Bacterial small subunit ribosomal RNA", at positions 28 to 506 of the family's 1533-position model. The record is from RNAcentral.